This 254-nucleotide ribosomal RNA is filed under the name uncultured bacterium. RNAcentral describes it as "partial 16S ribosomal RNA". It matches the Rfam family "Bacterial small subunit ribosomal RNA", at positions 524 to 776 of the family's 1533-position model. The record is from RNAcentral.
UACGUAGGUGGCAAGCGUUUGUCCGGAUUUACUGGGCGUAAAGAGCGCGCAGGCGGUCGUUCAAGUCGCGUGUGAAAGCCCCCGGCUCAACUGGGGAGGGUCACGCGAUACUGAUCGACUGGAAGGCAGGAGAGGGUAGUGGAAUUCCCGGUGUAGUGGUGAAAUGCGUAGAUAUCGGGAGGAACACCAGUGGCGAAGGCGACUACCUGGCCUGUUCUUGACGCUGAGGCGCGAAAGCUAGGGGAGCAAACGGG